RNAcentral lists this ribosomal RNA (883 nucleotides) under Halomonas sp. RNAcentral describes it as "bacterial SSU rRNA". It matches the Rfam family "Bacterial small subunit ribosomal RNA", at positions 587 to 1471 of the family's 1533-position model. Lineage: Bacteria; Pseudomonadati; Pseudomonadota; Gammaproteobacteria; Oceanospirillales; Halomonadaceae. The record is from RNAcentral.
GCCGGUUGUGAAAGCCCCGGGCUCAACCUGGGAACGGCAUCCGGAACUGUCAAGCUAGAGUGCAGGAGAGGAAGGUAGAAUUCCCGGUGUAGCGGUGAAAUGCGUAGAGAUCGGGAGGAAUACCAGUGGCGAAGGCGGCCUUCUGGACUGACACUGACACUGAGGUGCGAAAGCGUGGGUAGCAAACAGGAUUAGAUACCCUGGUAGUCCACGCCGUAAACGAUGUCGACCAGCCGUUGGGUGCCUAGCGCACUUUGUGGCGAAGUUAACGCGAUAAGUCGACCGCCUGGGGAGUACGGCCGCAAGGUUAAAACUCAAAUGAAUUGACGGGGGCCCGCACAAGCGGUGGAGCAUGUGGUUUAAUUCGAUGCAACGCGAAGAACCUUACCUACUCUUGACAUCCUGCGAAUUCGGUAGAGAUACCUUAGUGCCUUCGGGAACGCAGAGACAGGUGCUGCAUGGCUGUCGUCAGCUCGUGUUGUGAAAUGUUGGGUUAAGUCCCGUAACGAGCGCAACCCUUGUCCUUAUUUGCCAGCGCGUAAUGGCGGGAACUCUAAGGAGACUGCCGGUGACAAACCGGAGGAAGGUGGGGACGACGUCAAGUCAUCAUGGCCCUUACGAGUAGGGCUACACACGUGCUACAAUGGUCGGUACAAAGGGUUGCCAACUCGCGAGAGUGAGCCAAUCCCGAAAAGCCGAUCUCAGUCCGGAUCGGAGUCUGCAACUCGACUCCGUGAAGUCGGAAUCGCUAGUAAUCGUAGAUCAGAAUGCUACGGUGAAUACGUUCCCGGGCCUUGUACACACCGCCCGUCACACCAUGGGAGUGGACUGCACCAGAAGUGGUUAGCCUAACGCAAGAGGGCGAUCACCAGUGUGUUACCGG